UCGAACGGUAACAGGAAGCAGCUUGCUGCUUUGCUGACGAGUGGCGGACGGGUGAGUAAUGUCUGGGAAACUGCCUGAUGGAGGGGGAUAACUACUGGAAACGGUGGCUAAUACCGCAUAACGUCGCAAGACCAAAGAGGGGGACCUUCGGGCCUCUUGCCAUCAGAUGUGCCCAGAUGGGAUUAGCUUGUUGGUGAGGUAACGGCUCACCAAGGCGACGAUCCCUAGCUGGUCUGAGAGGAUGACCAGCCACACUGGAACUGAGACACGGUCCAGACUCCUACGGGAGGCAGCAGUGGGGAAUAUUGCACAAUGGGCGCAAGCCUGAUGCAGCCAUGCCGCGUGUAUGAAGAAGGCCUUCGGGUUGUAAAGUACUUUCAGCGGGGAGGAAGGUGUUGUGGUUAAUAACCGCAGCAAUUGACGUUACCCGCAGAAGAAGCACCGGCUAACUCCGUGCCAGCAGCCGCGGUAAUACGGAGGGUGCAAGCGUUAAUCGGAAUUACUGGGCGUAAAGCGCACGCAGGCGGUCUGUCAAGUCGGAUGUGAAAUCCCCGGGCUCAACCUGGGAACUGCAUUCGAAACUGGCAGGCUUGAGUCUUGUAGAGGGGGGUAGAAUUCCAGGUGUAGCGGUGAAAUGCGUAGAGAUCUGGAGGAAUACCGGUGGCGAAGGCGGCCCCCUGGACAAAGACUGACGCUCAGGUGCGAAAGCGUGGG
This 714-nucleotide ribosomal RNA is filed under the name Salmonella enterica. RNAcentral's name for it is "bacterial SSU rRNA". It matches the Rfam family "Bacterial small subunit ribosomal RNA", at positions 62 to 765 of the family's 1533-position model. Lineage: Bacteria; Pseudomonadati; Pseudomonadota; Gammaproteobacteria; Enterobacterales; Enterobacteriaceae. The record is from RNAcentral.